CCGUGGAGCAUGGAUGCAAAUCUCAUGCACAUCAGCUAUGAAUCUGGUGUUCUGGAGAAUCCGAAGGUAAGAGAUCCUUAUGAUCAAAGCUCUGCAGAUGCUAAACAUUUAAUGCAAUGCAAUCCGGCGACGAUUGAGAGAUGCACAAACAAACCUUGCUCAGAAUAACUGAUGAGCAGAUUUCAGACUCACGUUUGAAGAAUUUUUCUAAAAAAAAAAAAAAAAAGAUGUCUGGAUAAUCGAGUAAAGCAAAGUUAUUUCCGUUCA
Long non-coding RNA from Cyprinus carpio (common carp), 267 nucleotides. RefSeq lists it as uncharacterized. The transcript has 2 exons. Lineage: Eukaryota; Metazoa; Chordata; Actinopteri; Cypriniformes; Cyprinidae. The record is from RefSeq and is a predicted model, not a curated record.